CACUAUGUGAAAUAGGGGAUAGUGUUGCUGGAAAAUAGUGAAAGUCGCAUAGGGUUGAAAUAAGUCAAUUUUUUAUGAAAAAGGGCAAGCUGCAUACAGAUAAGAAAAAGAAUGGAGGCAAAGCAUAUCUUCUACACUGGAAGGUUUAAUUAUUACUGUUAAUAUAAGAGUAAUGCUCACCUAAUCUUCGGUUUUCUAUAGUAAAAGUAGGCCAUGUUUGGCCCAUAUGCAGAUUCUUCGGUUUUGUUUCUAAAAAAGACCCUAAAAUUCUCUUUUUCCAUUAUUACUGCUACAUCAGCUAGCAAAAACUGGAAUAGCGGGGCGGCUAUUGCGCUAAUAGUGUUGUGGUUUCCAUAGAGGAAUCACCAAAAUCCACUAUGUUACAGAGCUGCUAUUGCGGCGGCUAUUUGAUGACGCUGGAGCAGAAUAUGUUUAGUUUAGAAUUUGGUACCUGGAUCCAAGAUAAGCACAUAUUUCUGACCAUUUUUGUGAAGAGUAUCAACAAAAUUUCUCAUCUUAUCUUUCGGAAAAUUAACAGGAUCUAGAGUGAAAUCUUUAUAUGCAUCCAUGUAAUCAAUAUCUGUCCACAUAACUUCGAGGGGUAUACCAGCUUUUGCAUAGUUGGUUACUACACCCUGAACAUCAUUUACAUUCUUGUAUCCCCAUCGACAUUGAUGAAAACCUUCACAAAGAGUUAACAAUGAUGUGGAUUAGCAUAGCAAAUUGAUAUAAUUAAUCACCGUGAAUAUAAUACAAUAGAAAGACAAUUGCAAUAAACUGGUGUUAGAUUUUAAUGCCUGGAGCCCUGAACUAAUGCAUAGAAAUUUCAUAAAGUACAAUUCAAUGACUAUAGACCUUUAUAUGGUUUAAUUUUUUAUCAUCUAUGUCUAGGCCAUUCCUAACUUAAUAGGGGCUUGUCCUCCACACUUUAGUUUUCAACACCUAUAAACACAUUCUUUCAAGUUUCAUAGCAUUGGCUUUAUAUUUUGUAACUGUGGUUUGCAACAACGGUUACGGCCACAACGUAAGGGAUUCUAAAACUUCUACAACUGCAAUUCAAAAUACUAGAAGAAAAAAAAUUCAGUAGAACACCUUGAUAGAAGGUCGACUCUAGACCAGAACCUGAAAAUUUAUUCAAAACACCAAUGACAUUUGACAGGACUCAUCAUCCCCACGACUGAGUGGUUGACCUUAUCGGUGUUAGUUAGACAGAAAUACGAGUUGAGUUUUGAGCCACACAUAUCAAUUAUAUCUUGUUUGUUCCAAAUUGUAACCAAUCAGGUCACUAUCUCAGACGUUACAACAAGGAGGAAUAUGAAAUUCUACUCCCGAAAACCAAUAUCAGUCAUUGCUGAAGUUUCAAACGAUUUUUGAGUACUGAUCCACGAGUCGUGGAUCAGUACUUGAAAUUGUACACGACUGACCACGACUGGCCGCCUAUUAAAAUUGUACACCUUAUAACUUGCUAUAAACACUUGAGUAGUUGAGUUUCAACAAGUAAAACAACUAGAACUACAAGGACAAAAAGGAUUGAAAAAUUCAACAAUCCAUGCUGGACUUACCAAAAGACCAAUAAGGCAUAGGAGCAGGCCUACCAAUGAACUGAGUAUACUGAUCCAAAACCAAUUCAGGAGAUGAACCAGCAAAAAAAUACAAAUCAAAAACACCACCAAUCACCUUAUAAGUAAGACGAUCACCGCUAUAAACAACAUCCAUUCCAUUACUAUUAAGAAGUAAAACNUGUGGGAGACAAUUGAAAAUAAUCAUCAAUUUAUGUUUUGUAUACAAGAUUGGUUGAUCUAGGAGAAAACAAUGAAUGAUGGAGACAAGCCAUGUUGACUUAAAAGAUAAGAUGACAUUGUUACUAACAUUUUCCACUAAGAAGUAACAAUAGUUUUUUUUUUCUUCUUUUUUUAUUGCAAAUGUUACUAAAUUCUCCUUUGUGAGAAGAUUUUUAACUGUAGUAUUUUAACCCUACUUGAAAGGAGGUGACCUUAACUCUUUGUACUAACAAUUUUUUUGAGAGGACCACCACUUGAAAGGAUAUGAUCCAUCUUUAAACUAACCCUACUUGAAAGGAGGUGACCUUAACUCUUUCUACUAACAAUAGUUAAUAUGAUGGCGACUAUGUAAAUUGACUACUAGACAAAGAUGGGCAAUCACCAUUUUUCUUGUUCUUUUUGUUAUUAAAAAACAUAAUUAAUGAUAGCAGAUUUUUAUAUUAUAAAUUUCUAUUAAUAUGAUCGCAAAGGUUGAUCGAACUGAAAAAACCACUAGUCCAGCUCAAUGAUGGAGAGUGUUACCUGCAAACACUUGGCGCUCACAUCGCCAAGAGAAACCAUUGAGUAGUGUGUGUGUGUGUUCUCCUCGUGUGUCCCUCUCAUGUCAACGUGGCUCAUUCUUUGUUUCCUCCUACAUGAACUAACCUCUAUAAAUUUGUAGUUAUAGUCAUAGUUUUAAGAACCGGCCGGUUCAACCGUGAACCAUACCCAUUACCGGUUUGAGCCAGCUAUUGGAUCGGCCAUGUUAUUGACUCGGCUGCCACGUCAUAAACAAAGCUUAUAGCAUAAAAAAUUACAUACAAUACAAGUGUUUAUAUGUAAGCUAUUUCUAUAGGUUUAUGAGGCGUUAGCUCGAUGAUAAUAAUCUGACCUGCAAUUGCAAGAGACGGAGUUCAAAUUCAUGAGACAAUUGUAAAAUGGACAUUAACGCCACCAUAAUUUUAAUAAUAUUUCUCCUUCCCCAUUUUUUUUUAAAAUUGUUCCUUUUAAUAAACAACUAUUUCGAUAGCGAAAUAUAAAAUGAGGUCUGACUGUUUUCACAAGAUUAGCAUAGAGAGCUUGUGCAAAUAAUCCAAAAACAAUUUAUGAAUAUGUCAUAAACUGUUUUCAUAAGCUCUCGUAAACAAUCUCAAAUGUUUGUCGCGCAAUAAGCUCAAAUGGGACAAUUCAACCAGAUGUUGAUGAAUGUAUGGAAAAGGAAAGAAACACUUGAGAUAAUAUAAAUCAACUAAAUCUUGAGAUAAUAUAUAGAUUUGAUAGACAAAUAUAACUAUACUAGAUGAUACUUAUUUCUGAUCCCUUGUAGCAACCUUAACUAAGGUAAAACAAGGGACUCUUCAAAGAAGUAAAACUACUAAGAAAACACAUAUUAUUUUUGGAAAUUGCAUUCUCAAAUUUCCUUCUACCUUAUUUUAGUCUUCAGUUCAAACUGCUCUCCAAUAAGCUGUUUCAAAUUUGAAACUUCCACAGUAACAAACUUAGAAGACCUAUCAAAUUUUGUGAUCAAAACUCUUUUCCUCGUUGAAUUCAUUCCACUCACAACAUUUAACUCACUCUCAGCCAAAUCAUUUCCAUUUAACCUACCAUAAUUAGGUAUCCCCAAGAAUGUAACCUUUUCUAUGGUCCAUUUUUGGUCCAAAGCAAAUUUUCCAUUAGUAACAUUAGAAGUAACAGAAACACUGUCAUUAUUAUACAGUGCACCAUAAAAUCUCACAAGUGUCCAUUGAUCUUUCUCUCCUUCUAGAUCAAGAGCCUCACCAUCAUCCAAAUAAACUUGUCCAUAACUAUUUCCAUUUCCACUAAAAACAACCAAUAGUUCGAAUGCGGUGUUUCGAGCUGCUUUCGUUGUCAUUGCUUCACCUUGUAAGGCCAAAAUGUUACCUUCACCAACAUGCACAUUUAUGUGAUCAGAUGGUGCAUCAAGUGUGACAUAUUUGCCUGAUUCUGCACUCACUGAAUUUGAAGGAUUAAAGAGAUCAAACCAAUUUCCUUUAGGAAAGUAUGCAUCAACAGUAACUGCACCAGAUUGUAGCACAGGUGAGACUAGAACACCAUUGCCUAAUAGAAACUGCGAGUUUAUUUCGUAUGUUGUGAUAUCCUCGGGGAAUGAAAAGAAAAGUGGCCGCGCAAUUGGUGUCCCUUUUGUGUUUGAUUCGUACAUUAGUGUGUAGAAAUAUGGAAGAAGGCGGUAACGAAGGGCGAGCACUUUUCGAGCUGAUGCUGCAACUGAAUCCCAAAGGUAAAGCUCUUGCCUGAUGGAACUUUUAUCUGAAUGAUCUCUUGCAAAGGGGUAGAAGGCCCCUAACUACAUUCAAGAAAAUAAAAAAGUAUUAGAUAUGCAUGCAAUGAUGGAAAUAUUUUCCAUCAGGGUUUUAAAAACUUAGGUACUGUUCUAUAGAAACUGUUCCUACUGUUCUCAACUUACAGAUAGUGUAACUGUCACCAACAAUUUUGAAUGGAUGUGAAAAACUGUCCUUUUUGUUAGAAAAAGUAAGAGUACAGCACACAUUGAAUCUAAGUUUAGUCCUUUAAAGAAAGGCCUACCGCGCGAUGUGGAAAGUGACAUUAAGAUUUUUUAUGUUUAUACGACUGCAAUUGCGGCUUUAUCACCACGAUUCUCUGAAAUAUAAGAAUCGCAGCGUGUCUGCAAUUUAAAACCUUUCUUUACCUGUAGCCAAAAAUCACAGCUCUAUCCAUGUGUAACUUUUAUAAAUUUAGUCUAGUGAAAAAGUUGUGGAUGCUAUCCGAUUUUGAGGAUCAAUGUUUGUUACCUGAAUCCAGCGCCGACAAAGUUCUUCAGUAGUGUCUGCUGAGAAGCCGCAUAUAUCCGCUCCAACCAUAGGAACUCCAAAGAUUCCAAAGUUUAAUAUUGAUGGGAUUGAGUAUGCUAAAUCAUUCCAUGUAGCAGCAUUAUCUCCUGUCCAAUGAGCUGUAUACUUGCCAGAGCUAACAAAAGUUGAUCUACUCAAAAUGAAUGGUCUUUUACUAGUUAUUUCCACUAAGGCCCUGUUGGUUGUUUUGGAUUCUAAGAGACCAUACAAAUUGUGAGAAUCAUACUCAGUGAUAUUACCAUAAUGUAAAGAAGUUGCUGGCACCGUUUUAUUGUUGAUUGGUCGUUGAACGCCAGUACUGUUAAUUUUGUAAGGAGGGCUGUCAAGAUUAGAAUGAGGAGUGUCAUUCGAAGUUAUGAAAUUUGAUAACUCAUUCAUGUCAAGCCAAAUACCAUCAAAAGGGAGAAGUUCCCUAAAUAAUUUGAUUUCUUCACCCCAAAAUUCUUGGCUAUGAGGGUUAAGAAAAUCAGGAUAGUAAACUGGUCCUGGCCAAACUUCACCUAGAUAAUUGACUCCAUUUCUCUUUAGAUAGACAUCAGCUUGUAAGCCUCUAACAUAGGUUGCAUAUGUGUUAUUUACACUGAUACCUGUGUACAAAAAAGCAAUGACAUGUGCAUAUAUAUAUAUAUUUUUUUGAAUGGCAAAUAUAUAAUAUAGAAAAAGAACACACUGUACAAGAUACACCAACAGGACCAUCAAAAGAUGGUCCAAAGAGACCCCAGAAAACCCCCGACACAAAUGGAGAGCCGGGAAGAGAUCCGAAUGGAAGCACCAAAUAAACACCAAAAGCAAACAAAAAGAAAACUACACCAAAUAAAAGGAAAACAGAACAAAACACCACUGAAACCAACACCAGGCAGGUCAGGAAAGGAGGGCAAAGAAACACUGCGAAAGCUGGCCAGAAGGGGAGGAGGCAGGGAACCCCCACCCAACCCCCCACGCGAGCCAAGGCACACCACUCCCAGAACACCCUACCGAUGCCAGCACAGGAACCAUAAGAGUAAGACAUUGUUGUCGAUAGCGGAUUAUGGAAAAUAGAGGAACACCAAAAUUCCACUAUGUGAAAUAGGGGAUAGUGUUGCUGGAAAAUAGUGAAAGUCGCAUAGGGUUGAAAUAAGUCAAUUUUUUAUGAAAAAGGGCAAGCUGCAUACAGAUAAGAAAAAGAAUGGAGGCAAAGCAUAUCUUCUACACUGGAAGGUUUAAUUAUUACUGUUAAUAUAAGAGUAAUGCUCACCUAAUCUUCGGUUUUCUAUAGUAAAAGUAGGCCAUGUUUGGCCCAUAUGCAGAUUCUUCGGUUUUGUUUCUAAAAAAGACCCUAAAAUUCUCUUUUUCCAUUAUUACUGCUACAUCAGCUAGCAAAAACUGGAAUAGCGGGGCGGCUAUUGCGCUAAUAGUGUUGUGGUUUCCAUAGAGGAAUCACCAAAAUCCACUAUGUUACAGAGCUGCUAUUGCGGCGGCUAUUUGAUGACGCUGGAGCAGAAUAUGUUUAGUUUAGAAUUUGGUACCUGG
Molecule: long non-coding RNA, 6121 nt
Filed under: Medicago truncatula (barrel medic)
Lineage: Eukaryota; Viridiplantae; Streptophyta; Magnoliopsida; Fabales; Fabaceae
Description: long non-coding RNA (MTRU_LNC008189)
Source: RNAcentral